This 433-nucleotide ribosomal RNA is filed under the name uncultured bacterium. Its description in RNAcentral is "partial 16S ribosomal RNA". It matches the Rfam family "Bacterial small subunit ribosomal RNA", at positions 29 to 507 of the family's 1533-position model. The record is from RNAcentral.
AACGAACGCUGGCGGCAUGCCUAACACAUACAAGUCGAACGAGACCUUCGGGUCUAGUGGCGCACGGGUGCGUAACGCGUGGGAACCUGCCCUUAGGUUCGGAAUAACUCCCCGAAAGGGGUGCUAAUACCGGAUAAUGUCUUCGGACCAAAGAUUUAUCGCCUUUGGAUGGGCCCGCGUUGGAUUAGCUAGUUGGUAGGGUAAAAGCCUACCAAGGCGACGAUCCAUAGCUGGUCUGAGAGGAUGAUCAGCCACACUGGGACUGAGACACGGCCCAGACUCCUACGGGAGGCAGCAGUGGGGAAUAUUGGACAAUGGGCGAAAGCCUGAUCCAGCAAUGCCGCGUGAGUGAUGAAGGCCUUAGGGUUGUAAAGCUCUUUUACCCGGGAUGAUAAUGACAGUACCGGGAGAAUAAGCGCCGGCUAACUCCGUG